Molecule: ribosomal RNA, 249 nt
Filed under: uncultured soil bacterium
Lineage: Bacteria
Description: partial 16S ribosomal RNA
Rfam family: Bacterial small subunit ribosomal RNA
Source: RNAcentral
AGGACGAACGCUGGCGGCGUGCUUAACACAUGCAAGUCACGGGGGCUCGCAAGAGCAACCGGCGAACGGGUGCGUAACACGUGAGCAACCUGCCUUUGUGUGGGGGAUAGCCGGGCUAACGCCCGGGUAAUACCGCAUACGGUCACCGGGAGGAGUCUCCUGGUGAAGAAACCUCCGGGGCACAGAGAGGGGCUCGCGGCCUAUCAGCUAGUUGGCGGGGUAAUGGCCCACAAGGCGACGACGGGUAGC